GACGAACGCUGGCGGCGUGCUUAACACAUGCAAGUCGAACGGAAAGGCCCUGCUUGCCGGGUACUCGAGUGGCGAACGGGUGAGUAACACGUGGGUGAUCUGCCCUGCACUUCGGGAUAAGCCUGGGAAACUGGGUCUAAUACCGGAUAGGAGCCAUUUUUAGUGUGAUGGUUGGAAAGUUUUUUCGGUGUAGGAUGAGCUCGCGGCCUAUCAGCUUGUUGGUGGGGUAAUGGCCUACCAAGGCGGCGACGGGUAGCCGGCCUGAGAGGGUGGACGGCCACAUUGGGACUGAGAUACGGCCCAGACUCCUACGGGAGGCAGCAGUGGGGAAUAUUGCACAAUGGGCGCAAGCCGGAUGCAGCGACGCCGCGGGGGGGAUGACGGCCUUCGGGUUGUAAACUCCUUUCGCUAGGGACGAAGCUUUUUGUGACGGUACCUAGAUAAGAAGCACCGGCUAACUACGUG
This 465-nucleotide ribosomal RNA is filed under the name uncultured bacterium. RNAcentral describes it as "partial 16S ribosomal RNA". It matches the Rfam family "Bacterial small subunit ribosomal RNA", at positions 28 to 507 of the family's 1533-position model. The record is from RNAcentral.